ACGCUCCAGAUUAACUACCCUUCAAACCUAAAUAUUGGUCUGAGGGGCUAAAAAAAGGAAGAAAAGUAAAACUGAAGUGAACUUUGUGUCUUUGGUGACAUAUAUGUUCAUCUCAAACAUAU
This 122-nucleotide small nucleolar RNA is filed under the name Echinops telfairi (small Madagascar hedgehog). RNAcentral's name for it is "Small nucleolar RNA SNORA61 (ENSETEG00000026754.1)". The record is from RNAcentral. Lineage: Eukaryota; Metazoa; Chordata; Mammalia; Afrosoricida; Tenrecidae.